This 568-nucleotide ribosomal RNA is filed under the name uncultured bacterium. RNAcentral describes it as "bacterial SSU rRNA". It matches the Rfam family "Bacterial small subunit ribosomal RNA", at positions 63 to 599 of the family's 1533-position model. The record is from RNAcentral.
CGAGCGAGCGGAACUACAGAUUUACUUCGGUAAUGACGUUAGGAAAGCGAGCGGCGGAUGGGUGAGUAACACGUGGGGAACCUGCCCCAUAGUCUGGGAUACCACUUGGAAACAGGUGCUAAUACCGGAUAAGAAAGCAGAUCGCAUGAUCAGCUUUUAAAAGGCGGCGUAAGCUGUCGCUAUGGGAUGGCCCCGCGGUGCAUUAGCUAGUUGGUAAGGUAAAGGCUUACCAAGGCGAUGAUGCAUAGCCGAGUUGAGAGACUGAUCGGCCACAUUGGGACUGAGACACGGCCCAAACUCCUACGGGAGGCAGCAGUAGGGAAUCUUCCACAAUGGACGCAGGUCUGAUGGAGCAACGCCGCGUGAGUGAAGAAGGUUUUCGGAUCGUAAAGCUCUGUUGUUGGUGAAGAAGGAUAGAGGUAGUAACUGGCCUUUAUUUGACGGUAAUCAACCAGAAAGUCACGGCUAACUACGUGCCAGCAGCCGCGGUAAUACGUAGGUGGCAAGCGUUGUCCGAAUUUAUUGGGCGUAAAGCGAGCGCAGGCGGAAGAAUAAGUCUGAUGUGAAA